Pelobates cultripes (western spadefoot toad) is the source of this 356-nucleotide non-coding RNA. NCBI's taxonomy places the organism in Eukaryota, Metazoa, Chordata, Amphibia, Anura, Pelobatidae. The record is from the annotation of a GenBank genome assembly.
UAUCCCCCAUUCCUCUAAAAUGCCCCACUGAUAUCCCCAUUCCUCUAAGAUUCCCCACUAAUAUCCCCCAUUCCUCUAACAUUCCCCGCUGAUAUCCCCCAUUCCUCUAAAAUUCCCCACUGAUAUCCCCCAUUCCUCUAACAUUCCCCACUGAUAUCCCCCAUUCCUCUAACAUUCCCCACUGAUAUCCCCCAUUCCUCUAACAUUCCCUACUGAUAUCCCCCAUUCCUCUAAAAUUCCCCGCUGAUAUCCCUCAUCCCCCUAAAAUUCCCCACUGAUAUCCCCCAGUCCUCUAAAAUUCCCCACUGAUAUCCCCCAGUCCUCUAAAAUUCCCCACUGAUAUCCCCCAGUCCUCU